AACGUAGGUGGCGAGCGUUAUCCGGAUUUACUGGGCGUAAAAGGUGUGCAGGCGGGCCAUUAAGUGGUGUAUGAAAUAUCCCGGCUCAACCGGGAGAGGUUAUGCCAGACUGGUGGUCUAGAGAGCGAGAGAGGGACGUGGAAUUCCGGGUGUAGUGGUGAAAUGCGUAGAGAUCCGGAGGAACCCCAGAGGCGAAGGCGGCGUCCUGGCUCGCAUCUGACGCUCAGACACGACAGCAUGGGGAGCGAACGGG
RNAcentral lists this ribosomal RNA (253 nucleotides) under uncultured bacterium. RNAcentral describes it as "partial 16S ribosomal RNA". It matches the Rfam family "Bacterial small subunit ribosomal RNA", at positions 524 to 776 of the family's 1533-position model. The record is from RNAcentral.